Molecule: ribosomal RNA, 389 nt
Filed under: Nodipecten subnodosus
Lineage: Eukaryota; Metazoa; Mollusca; Bivalvia; Pectinida; Pectinidae
Description: partial 16S ribosomal RNA
Rfam family: Bacterial large subunit ribosomal RNA
Source: RNAcentral
GCCUUCCCGGUGAGUCUGCGGGCUUAAACGGACGCGGUAAAGCGUGCUAAGGUAGCUAAAUUAUGGCCUAUUAAUUGUAGGUCCUGUGAAUGGUUUGACGAGUCUUCAACUGUCUCUAGUUUUUUUGGUGAACUUGAAUUGGAUGUGCAAAUGCUUCCAUGGGUAAGAAAGACGAGAAGACCCCGUGAAGUUAGAAAUUUUGGUUGUUGGUGAGCUUUGUUGGGUGCAGGUUAGGCCACUUUAAGUGGUUUGAAAGAAAAGUGAACAGCGAUAGUUUUGGCUGGGGCAGCAAAGAAGCAAGGUUAGACUUCUUUAGUUUAAGGACAGGUGUGUGACGACCCACAAGUUUGUUGGUGUGAUUAGCAGAAGAAGUUACUCCGGGGAUAACA